GAUGAAGAACGUAGCGAAAUGCGAUACUUGGUGUGAAUUGCAGAAUCCCGUGAACCAUCGAGUCUUUGAACGCAAGUUGCGCCCGAAGCCAUUAGGCCGAGGGCACGCCUGCCUGGGCGUCACACGUCGUUGCCCCCCCAUCUACUCCUUCGGGAUUGCGGGGGGCGGAUGAUGGCCUCUCGUGCGCCUCGUCGCGCGGUUGGCCUAAAUGCCAAGUCCUCGGCGACGCGCGCCACGACAAUCGGUGGUUGCGAAACCUCGGUUGCCUGUCGUGUGCGGUCGUCGCGCAUCGAGGGCUCGAAAAAAUUGCCGGGCUUCGGCUCGACUUUCAACGCGACCCCAGGUCAGGCGGGGUUACCCGCUGAAUUUAAGCAUAUCAAUAAGCGGAGGA
This 391-nucleotide unclassified non-coding RNA is filed under the name soil metagenome. RNAcentral's name for it is "partial contains 5.8S ribosomal RNA, internal transcribed spacer 2, and large subunit ribosomal RNA". The stretch from base 1 to 122 matches the Rfam family "5.8S ribosomal RNA", at positions 35 to 154 of the family's 154-position model. The record is from RNAcentral.